CAGAUUUUUGUAAAUUGAACAGUAUUUUACAGUAAUAUGCACAGUAUAAUACUGUUAAAUGUGUAACCAGUAUUAUACUGUAAAUAGCAAAGGAUUAUGGGAAAAUGUAUGCUCACUACUGUAAUUCUUCUCUACUGUAAAUCGAUUUACAGUAGUGCAAAUGCCCGCGAAAACUGACCAAUGAAAAGGGAGAUUUCUUUUCGCUUGUUGGGAGUGGCAGAUAACAGAGGAAUGACUCAACAAAAAGGUUAGUAUUACUUCUGUAAUUAUUUUAUGUAAAACUCAGAUAUUUUCAAAUGCAUUAACUUGUUAACAACCAAACAUGAAUUAGUGGGGCAAUUUGGGUGAGAAUAGCAUUAUUAAGCCGGUUACAAGCCUUUUUCGCAUCAGAACCCCUCCCCCACCCUAAAGUCAGUGAAAGCAUUCCAAUAAAGUCACAUUUAAGCCCGUAUGGUGGAUUUACAUGUUAUUGAUUGAAUAUCAUAUCUAUUUUUUGUUUUUAUUAAAACAUUUCUGCUAGAACUGUGCCAUUUGGAAUGUUGGAGGUGUCCGUGGAGCCUUUUUCUGGCAUUUAACGUAACGUUACCGUAAAAACUGUGGAAACUGUUAGCUGUUAGAUCUGUGCCAUUUGGGACAUCGGAUGAGCCUUUUUCUGGUCGUUAACAUCAAAACUGGUAAGCUAAAGUGAGGCAACACUAAAACAGAGGUUGUAUUUCCUGUUUUGUAUUUAUAUGUCAAGCAUUUUAGGUAUAAUUUAAUUUUCAUAAUCAUUUAUCAUCAAACUUUUACAGGUACCUAAGACUGUAAAGAAGAUAUUUUGAAGAAAGUUACCAAACAGCAUUGGACCCCACUCACUUCUAUUGUAUAGACACAAAACUAUUUGCAAGUGAAAGGCGUCCAGUUAACAGCAUUUUUCAAAAUAUCUCCUUUUGUGUUCUGUGGAAGGCAGAAAAUCAUUCAGGUGUGAAAUGACAAGAGGGUGAGUAAAUGAUAACAGAUUUAAGUAUAUCACUUUAAGUAUAUUCUUUAUACAUGUAAUGAAUCUCUCUCAGCCUGUUAAUUGCUGUACUUUUAGGUGACUGCAAUUCCAGCAGAUGUAGAGGGAUCCCACUCUGUGUCCAGCACCCCAAGACUGAUUGCACUUGGAGAUUCUGUUUUCCGUGCCAAAAAAUGGAUGCUGACAAUGGAGGGCAGAGUCAUCAUAGAGCCACAAGAGCUAACAGAUUUUCAAUGUGCAAUACCAGGAAGCGGCCACCAAUACACUGGACUUCAUUCAGAGGUUCAUUUUGAGAAUACACCCUGAUAGCACCAAAUGCCAAUCAAAAUCACAUAUCAGCCAGACACAGAAGAAAAAUCACCAGCCUGAAUCCUUGUGGCAUCUUUUAUCAACGAGCUUGUUGAGUAAUGAAAUAAAGCACUACUGACGAUAACACUACAAACAUGUUUUUUUUUGCCGUUUGAUUUGAAUUCUGAGACCUAUGCUGUCCAAACUGCAUACUGCGACAGUAUGUAAAGAUUUAAAUUAAGUACCUACCUAACUACCAUUAAAACAGUAUGUUCUAUAUAGUUUUUGUGAGAGUAGUAUUAUUACAUUUCGGACAUACUGCAUCAGGCAUGUUUAUUGUCAUGUGACCCGUAUGCUCUUUGACCUAUGACAUUUUAACAACAACCUGUAGAUAGGCAUUGGUAAAAACAUUAAGUGGUUUGUAUGUUUUUAACUCUGUUUCCUUAAUUUUUUUUGUCAGUUCUCAAUGCAUUGUUUUGUUGUUUUGUUCCCUGGUUUUCUGAGUAUUUUUAGAUGAAAUUCUGUUAAAAAUAAAACUUUAACUGC
Long non-coding RNA from Triplophysa rosa, 1831 nucleotides. RefSeq lists it as uncharacterized. The record is from RefSeq and is a predicted model, not a curated record. The transcript is spliced from 4 exons. NCBI's taxonomy places the organism in Eukaryota, Metazoa, Chordata, Actinopteri, Cypriniformes, Nemacheilidae.